RNAcentral lists this ribosomal RNA (253 nucleotides) under uncultured bacterium. Its description in RNAcentral is "partial 16S ribosomal RNA". It matches the Rfam family "Bacterial small subunit ribosomal RNA", at positions 524 to 776 of the family's 1533-position model. The record is from RNAcentral.
UACAGGGGGUGCAAACGUUGCUCGGAAUUAUUGGGCGUAAAGCGCGCGUAGGCGGCCGCUUAAGUCGGAUGUGAAAGCCCCUGGCUCAACUGGGGAAGUGCACCCGAAACUGAGUGGCUUGAGUACUAAAGAGGGUCGCGGAAUUCCCGGUGUAGAGGUGAAAUGCGUAGAUAUUGGGAGGAACACCAGUGGCGAAGGCGGCUCACUGGACCGGUACUGACGCUGAUGCGCGAAAGCGUGGGGAGCAAACAGG